GAAGUGGCUCGGGUGGUCGCGCUAUGCUUCAAUGCAUAGGGAGGAAAGUCCGGGCUGCAUAGAGUAGGAUGCUGGAUAACGUCCAGUGGGGGCAACCCUAGGAAAGUGCCACAGAGACUAAACCGCCUUGUGGCAACACAAGGUAAGGGUGAAAAGGUGUGGUAAGAGCGCACCGCUUGGCUUGGUGACAAGACAAGGCGUAGGUAAACCCCAUCCGCAGCAAGACCAAAUAGGGAGUCGUUAAGCGUUACUCGCGCGUGGCUUCGGGUAGGUUGCUUGAGGCUGCUGGCAACAGUAGUCCAGAUGAAUGAUCAUCACCGCUAUUGAUGUAGUGGUACAAAACCCGGCUUAUAGAGCCACUUCGCAA
Molecule: RNase P RNA, 367 nt
Filed under: Ghiorsea sp.
Lineage: Bacteria; Pseudomonadati; Pseudomonadota; Candidatius Mariprofundia; Mariprofundales
Description: RNase P RNA component class A
Rfam family: Bacterial RNase P class A
About the family: Ribonuclease P (RNase P) is a ubiquitous endoribonuclease, found in archaea, bacteria and eukarya as well as chloroplasts and mitochondria. Its best characterised activity is the generation of mature 5'-ends of tRNAs by cleaving the 5'-leader elements of precursor-tRNAs.
Source: RNAcentral